GGAACUGUAGCUCAGUGAUAGUGUCUCCGCUUGGCAUGCAGAAGUUCCCAGGUUCAAUCCCCAGCAUCUCCA
RNAcentral lists this transfer RNA (72 nucleotides) under Sphaerodactylus townsendi. RNAcentral's name for it is "tRNA-Ala". The record is from RNAcentral. Lineage: Eukaryota; Metazoa; Chordata; Lepidosauria; Squamata; Sphaerodactylidae.